GACGAACGCUGGCGGCGUGCUUAACACAUGCAAGUCGAACGGAAAGGCCCUGCUUUUGUGGGGUGCUCGAGUGGCGAACGGGUGAGUAACACGUGAGUAACCUGCCCUUGACUUUGGGAUAACUUCAGGAAACUGGGGCUAAUACCGGAUAGGAGCUCCUGCUGCAUGGUGGGGGUUGGAAAGUUUCGGCGGUUGGGGGUGGACUCGCGGCUUAUCAGCUUGUUGGUGGGGUAGUGGCUUACCAAGGCUUUGACGGGUAGCCGGCCUGAGAGGGUGACCGGCCACAUUGGGACUGAGAUACGGCCCAGACUCCUACGGUAGGCAGCAGUGGGGAAUAUUGCACAAUGGGCGGAAGCCUGAUGCAGCAACGCCGCGUGCGGGAUGACGGCCUUCGGGUUGUAAACCGCUUUCGCCUGUGACGAAGCGUGAGUGACGGUAAUGGGUAAAGAAGCACCGGCUAACUACGUG
Molecule: ribosomal RNA, 468 nt
Filed under: uncultured bacterium
Lineage: Bacteria
Description: partial 16S ribosomal RNA
Rfam family: Bacterial small subunit ribosomal RNA
Source: RNAcentral